ACAACAGCUCAAAUUUGAAAUCUGGCCCCCAGGGCCCGAGUUGUAAUUUGCAGAGGAUGCUUUUGGCGCGGUGCCUUCCGAGUUCCCUGGAACGGGACGCCAUAGAGGGUGAGAGCCCCGUCUGGUCGGACGCCUAGCCUGUGUAAAGCUCCUUCGACGAGUCGAGUAGUUUGGGAAUGCUGCUCUAAAUGGGAGGUAUAUGUCUUCUAAAGCUAAAUACCGGCCAGAGACCGAUAGCGCACAAGUAGAGUGAUCGAAAGAUGAAAAGCACUUUGAAAAGAGGGUUAAAUAGUACGUGAAAUUGUUGAAAGGGAAGCGCUUGUGACCAGACUUGGGCCCGGUGGAUCAUCCAGCGUUCUCGCUGGUGCACUCCGCCGGGUUCAGGCCAGCAUCAGUUCGCCGCGGGGGAAAAAGGCUUCGGGAACGUGGCUCCUACGGGAGUGUUAUANCCCGUUGCAUAAUACCCUGGGGCGGACUGAGGUUCGCGCUCCGCAAGGAUGCUGGCGUAAUGGUCAUCANCGACCCGUCUU
This 530-nucleotide ribosomal RNA is filed under the name soil fungal sp. DM256. RNAcentral describes it as "eukaryotic LSU rRNA". It matches the Rfam family "Eukaryotic large subunit ribosomal RNA", at positions 101 to 655 of the family's 3401-position model. Lineage: Eukaryota; Fungi. The record is from RNAcentral.